UCGCCCUUUCCGGUUGAUCCUGCCGGACCCGACUGCUAUCGGAUUGAGAUUUAGCCAUGCGAGUCGAACGCUUCCCUGUUGCGGGAGGCGUGGCGUACGGCUCAGUAACACGUAGUCAACCUGCCCUGGAGACAUGGACAACCCCGGGAAACUGGGAUUAAUCCAUGAUAGGUCAUCUCAUCUGGAAGGAGAGAUGGCUUAAAGGGGUGCGAGAGCUUCUUUCUUGUAUCUGCUCCAGGAUGGGACUGCGGCCGAUCAGGCUGUUGGUGGGGUAAUGGCCCACCAAACCUGUAACCGGUACGGGCCUUGAGAGAGGGGGCCCGGAGAUGGACACUGAGAGAAGGGUCCAGGUCCUACGGGGCGCAGCAGGCGCGAAACCUUCGCAAUGCGCGAAAGCGUGACGAGGUUAAUCCGAGUGGUCCCCGCUGAGGGGAUCUUUUGUCGGCUGUAAAAAGGCCGGUGAAUAAGGGGAGGGCAAGUCUGGUGUCAGCCGCCGCGGUAAUACCAGCUCCUCGAGUGGUCGGGGCGAUUAUUGGGCCUAAAGCAUCCGUAGCCUGUUCUGUAGGUCCUCUGUUAAAUCCAACGGCUUAACCGUUGGCCCGCAGAGGAUACCGCAGGACUAGGAGGCGGGAGAGGUGGACGGUACUCCACGUGUAGGGGUAAAAUCCUUUAAUCCGUGGAAGACCACCAGUGGCGAAGGCGGUCCACCAGAACGCGCUCGACGGUGAGGGAUGAAAGCUGGGGGAGCGAACCGGAUUAGAUACCCGGGUAGUCCCAGCCGUAAACGAUGCAAGCUAGAUGAUCCGGUCGCAAAUCGCGAUCGGAGUGUCGCAGGGAAGCCGUUAAGCUUGCCGCCUGGGGAGUACGGUCGCAAGACUGAAACUUAAAGGAAUUGGCGGGGGAGCACCACAAGGGGUAAAGCCUGCGGUUCAAUUGGAGUCAACGCCAGGAAACUUACCAGGAGAGACAGCAGGUUGAGGGUCAAGCUGAAGACUUUACCUGACGAGCUGAGAGGAGGUGCAUGGCCGUCGCCAGCUCGUGCCGUGAGGCGUCCUGUUAAGUCAGGCAACGAGCGAGACCCAAAGGGCGAA
Molecule: ribosomal RNA, 1091 nt
Filed under: uncultured Nitrososphaerota archaeon
Lineage: Archaea; Thermoproteati; Nitrososphaerota
Description: bacterial SSU rRNA
Rfam family: Archaeal small subunit ribosomal RNA
Source: RNAcentral